AGUCAGAGGCGAUGAAGGACGUGCUAAUCUGCGAUAAGCGUCGGUGAGGUGAUAUGAACCGUUAUAACCGGCGAUUUCCGAAUGGGGAAACCCAGUGUGUUUCGACACACUAUCAUUAACUGAAUCCAUAGGUUAAUGAGGCGAACCGGGGGAACUGAAACAUCUAAGUACCCCGAGGAAAAGAAAUCAACCGAGAUUCCCCCAGUAGCGGCGAGCGAACGGGGAGGAGCCCAGAGCCUGAAUCAGUGUGUGUGUUAGUGGAAGCGUCUGGAAAGGCGCGCGAUACAGGGUGACAGCCCCGUACACAAAAAUGCACAUAUUGUGAGCUCGAUGAGUAGGGCGGGACACGUGGUAUCCUGUCUGAAUAUGGGGGGACCAUCCUCCAAGGCUAAAUACUCCUGACUGACCGAUAGUGAACCAGUACCGUGAGGGAAAGGCGAAAAGAACCCCGGCGAGGGGAGUGAAAAAGAACCUGAAACCGUGUACGUACAAGCAGUGGGAGCCUCUUAAUGGGGUGACUGCGUACCUUUUGUAUAAUGGGUCAGCGACUUAUAUUCUGUAGCAAGGUUAACCGAAUAGGGGAGCCGAAGGGAAACCGAGUCUUAACUGGGCGUUAAGUUGCAGGGUAUAGACCCGAAACCCGGUGAUCUAGCCAUGGGCAGGUUGAAGGUUGGGUAACACUAACUGGAGGACCGAACCGACUAAUGUUGAAAAAUUAGCGGAUGACUUGUGGCUGGGGGUGAAAGGCCAAUCAAACCGGGAGAUAGCUGGUUCUCCCCGAAAGCUAUUUAGGUAGCGCCUCGUGAAUUCAUCUCCGGGGGUAGAGCACUGUUUCGGCAAGGGGGUCAUCCCGACUUACCAACCCGAUGCAAACUGCGAAUACCGGAGAAUGUUAUCACGGGAGACACACGGCGGGUGCUAACGUCCGUCGUGAAGAGGGAAACAACCCAGACCGCCAGCUAAGGUCCCAAAGUCAUGGUUAAGUGGGAAACGAUGUGGGAAGGCCCAGACAGCCAGGAUGUUGGCUUAGAAGCAGCCAUCAUUUAAAGAAAGCGUAAUAGCUCACUGGUCGAGUCGGCCUGCGCGGAAGAUGUAACGGGGCUAAACCAUGCACCGAAGCUGCGGCAGCGACACUAUGUGUUGUUGGGUAGGGGAGCG
Molecule: ribosomal RNA, 1158 nt
Filed under: Escherichia coli
Lineage: Bacteria; Pseudomonadati; Pseudomonadota; Gammaproteobacteria; Enterobacterales; Enterobacteriaceae
Description: partial 23S ribosomal RNA
Rfam family: Bacterial large subunit ribosomal RNA
Source: RNAcentral